This 475-nucleotide long non-coding RNA is filed under the name Erythranthe guttata (spotted monkey flower). RNAcentral's name for it is "long non-coding RNA (EGUT_LNC002958)". Lineage: Eukaryota; Viridiplantae; Streptophyta; Magnoliopsida; Lamiales; Phrymaceae. The record is from RNAcentral.
CACCCAGGCCGUGUCGUAUGCAGACGGAGUUAUCUCAACUUUACCAUUUGUGAUCCUCUCUCUCAUUCUUUCGAUUGAUUCUUGUAAGAUCUAUAUCGUUAGUACAAUUUAGUUAGUUAAUUAAUCGAUCCACCGUGUAAUUAAACAUGUACUGGAAAAACUGGAAAAUAUAUAUAAUAGUACUGUUGGAUUAUGAUCAAGGCUGCAUCUGAAUGUGACUGCUGAUUUAUGCAUGGUGUGAAAUAUUCGAACUGCGCAAAGUGGAAAAGAAUUAAAAUCCAUUAAUUAAUUGGCGAUAACUGUAAUGAAAUAGACAUACUUAAAAGGGCUAAUUAAUUAUAAGAUGAAACAUGGAAAUUAAAAAAAACCUGGAAAAGUUUGUGUGUUGUUUCUAAUUCCAUUUUCUGAAAAAGGGAAAACUGUGACUUUCAACCCCACUGACAUUUUCUAUUACCCCGGUUACUGCAAGUGCUGG